GACGAACGCUGGCGGCGUGCUUAACACAUGCAAGUCGAACGAAGAACUAGAGAUGAAUUCUUCGGAAGGAAUUUUUAGUUACUUAGUGGCGGACGGGUGAGUAACGCGUGAGCAACCUGCCCAUAAGAGGGGGAUAACAGCUGGAAACGGCUGCUAAUACCGCAUAAGACCACAUUGCCACAUGGCAGAGGGGUCAAAGAUUUAUCGCUUAUGGAUGGGCUCGCGUCUGAUUAGCUAGUUGGUAGGGUAACGGCCUACCAAGGCGACGAUCAGUAGCCGACCUGAGAGGGUGAUCGGCCACACUGGAACUGAGACACGGUCCAG
Molecule: ribosomal RNA, 324 nt
Filed under: uncultured bacterium
Lineage: Bacteria
Description: bacterial SSU rRNA
Rfam family: Bacterial small subunit ribosomal RNA
Source: RNAcentral